RNAcentral lists this ribosomal RNA (365 nucleotides) under Alphaproteobacteria bacterium. Its description in RNAcentral is "bacterial SSU rRNA". It matches the Rfam family "Bacterial small subunit ribosomal RNA", at positions 1 to 394 of the family's 1533-position model. The record is from RNAcentral. Lineage: Bacteria; Pseudomonadati; Pseudomonadota; Alphaproteobacteria.
CAACCUGAGAGUUUGAUCCUGGCUCAGAGCGAACGCUGGCGGCAGGCCUAAUACAUGCAAGUCGAGCGGCCACUUCGGUGGCAGCGGCGGACGGGUGAGUAACGCGUGGGAAUGUGCCCUUUGGUACGGAACAACUGAGGGAAACUUCAGCUAAUACCGUAUGUGCCCUUCGGGGGAAAGAUUUAUUGCCAUUGGAGCAGCCCGCGUUGGAUUAGGUAGUUGGUGAGGUAAAGGCUCACCAAGCCGACGAUCCAUAGCUGGUCUGAGAGGAUGAUCAGCCACACUGGGACUGAGACACGGCCCAGACUCCUACGGGAGGCAGCAGUAGGGAAUCUUGCGCAAUGGGCGAAAGCCUGACGCAGCCA